AAACCAACAGGGAUUGCCCCAGUAGCGGCGAGUGAAGCGGCAAGAGCUCAGAUUUGAAAUCGUGUUUCGGCACGAGUUGUAGAGUGUAGGCGGGAGUCUCUGUGGAGCGCGGUGUCCAAGUCCCUUGGAACAGGGUGCCUGAGAGGGUGAGAGCCCCGUAGGGUGCUGCGCGAAGCUUUUGAGGCCCUGCUGACGAGUCGAGUUGUUUGGGAAUGCAGCUCCAAGCGGGUGGUAAAUUCCAUCUAAGGCUAAAUAUUGGCGAGAGACCGAUAGCGAACAAGUACUGUGAAGGAAAGAUGAAAAGCACUUUGAAAAGAGAGUGAAACAGCACGUGAAAUUGUUGAAAGGGAAGGGUAUUGGGCUCGACAUGGGGGGUGCGCACCGCUGUCUCUUGUAGGCGGCGCUCUGGGCGCCCUCUGGGCCAGCAUCGGUUCCUGCUGCGGGAGAAGGGGCUCCGGAAAGUGGCUCUUCGGAGUGUUAUAGCCGGGGCCAGAUGCCGCGUGUGGGGACCGAGGACUGCGGCUUCUGUCUCGGAUGCUGGCAUAACGGCGCAAUACCGCCCGUCUU
This 567-nucleotide ribosomal RNA is filed under the name Pichia manshurica. RNAcentral's name for it is "eukaryotic LSU rRNA". It matches the Rfam family "Eukaryotic large subunit ribosomal RNA", at positions 62 to 655 of the family's 3401-position model. Lineage: Eukaryota; Fungi; Ascomycota; Pichiomycetes; Pichiales; Pichiaceae. The record is from RNAcentral.